Ceratotherium simum simum (southern white rhinoceros) is the source of this 181-nucleotide non-coding RNA. The record is from RefSeq and is a predicted model, not a curated record. Lineage: Eukaryota; Metazoa; Chordata; Mammalia; Perissodactyla; Rhinocerotidae.
AAAUAAAAACUACCAAAAAAAAAAAAAAAAAAAAAGAAAGAAAGAAAAACCGAUUCUGAAACCCCUAGAAGUCCUGGAAUACAGAAAUGCCCUCCUCCUUCACUAUUUCACAGGAAGCACUGUAAGCUAUUUGCUUAACAAUGUCCUGACAUUACAUUCUAAAUUUUUAAUAUCUGGUUAC